UGAGUCGGUCGGGUGACCGCGGCCGGGCAUGGCCUUCGGGCCGGGACCCGGUCGAGGAAGGUCGGGGCUCCACAGGGCAGGAUGCUGAGGCGACUCAGGCGGGGGUGACCUCGCGGACAGGGCAGCAGAGAACAGACCGCCGAUGGCCCGGCUCGCCGGGCACAGGCAAGGUGAAACGGUGCGGUAAGAGCGCACCAGUGCGGCGGGCGACCGUCGCAGCUGGCAACCCCCAUCCGGUGCAAGGCCAAGCAGUAGGUGAUGGGGCUGCCCGUCCCCCGAAACUUCGGUUUCGGCACCUACGGGUCGGCCGCUCAGAUGGAUGAUCACCCAGGGAGACGUCGGCGACGACCUCCCGGACAGAACUCCGCCUAUAGACCGACUCACCAG
RNAcentral lists this RNase P RNA (387 nucleotides) under Candidatus Neomicrothrix sp. RNAcentral's name for it is "RNase P RNA component class A". It matches the Rfam family "Bacterial RNase P class A". Rfam says of the family: Ribonuclease P (RNase P) is a ubiquitous endoribonuclease, found in archaea, bacteria and eukarya as well as chloroplasts and mitochondria. The record is from RNAcentral. Lineage: Bacteria; Bacillati; Actinomycetota; Acidimicrobiia; Acidimicrobiales; Microthrixaceae.